This 253-nucleotide ribosomal RNA is filed under the name uncultured bacterium. RNAcentral describes it as "partial 16S ribosomal RNA". It matches the Rfam family "Bacterial small subunit ribosomal RNA", at positions 524 to 776 of the family's 1533-position model. The record is from RNAcentral.
UACGAAGGGGGCUAGCGUUGCUCGGAAUUACUGGGCGUAAAGCGUGCGUAGACGGUUAUUUAAGUCGGAUGUGAAAGCCCCGGGCUCAACCUGGGAAUUGCAUUCGAGACUGAAUAGCUAGGGUGCGGUAGAGGGAAGCGGAAUUUCCGGUGUAGCGGUGAAAUGCGUAGAUAUCGGAAGGAACAUCAGUGGCGAAAGCGGCUUCCUGGACCAGCACCGACGUUCAGGCACGAAAGCGUGGGGAGCAAACAGG